CCUGGAGUAGCUCACCGGAAGAGCACCCGGCUGUCACCCGGGAGGGUGCGAGUUCGACUCUCGCCUUCAGGU
Molecule: transfer RNA, 72 nt
Filed under: Cellulomonas iranensis
Lineage: Bacteria; Bacillati; Actinomycetota; Actinomycetes; Micrococcales; Cellulomonadaceae
Description: tRNA-Asp
Rfam family: tRNA
About the family: Transfer RNA (tRNA) molecules are approximately 80 nucleotides in length. Their secondary structure includes four short double-helical elements and three loops (D, anti-codon, and T loops). Further hydrogen bonds mediate the characteristic L-shaped molecular structure. tRNAs have two regions of fundamental functional importance: the anti-codon, which is responsible for specific mRNA codon recognition, and the 3' end, to which the tRNAs corresponding amino acid is attached (by aminoacyl-tRNA synthetases). tRNAs cope with the degeneracy of the genetic code in two manners: having more than one tRNA (with a specific anti-codon) for a particular amino acid; and 'wobble' base-pairing, i.e. permitting non-standard base-pairing at the 3rd anti-codon position.
Source: RNAcentral